This 497-nucleotide ribosomal RNA is filed under the name uncultured bacterium. Its description in RNAcentral is "partial 16S ribosomal RNA". It matches the Rfam family "Bacterial small subunit ribosomal RNA", at positions 28 to 507 of the family's 1533-position model. The record is from RNAcentral.
GAUGAACGCUGGCGGCGUGCCUAAUACAUGCAAGUCGAGCGAACGGACGAGAAGCUUGCUUCUCUGAUGUUAGCGGCGGACGGGAGAGUAACACGUGGAUAACCCACCUAUAAGACUGGGAUAACUUCGGGAAACCGUAGCUAAUACCGGAUAAUAUUUUGAACCGCAUGGUUCAAAAGUGAAAGACGGUCUUGCUGUCACUUAUAGAUGGAUCCGCGCUGCAUUAGCUAGUUGGUAAGGUAACGGCUUACCAAGGCAACGAUGCAUAGCCGACCUGAGAGGGUGAUCGGCCACCCUGGAGCUGAGACGCGGUCCAGGGUCCUACGGGAGGCAGCAGUAGGUAAUCUUCCGCAAUGGGCGAAAGCCUGACGGAGCGGCGCCGCGUGAGUGAUGAAGGUCUUCGGAUCGUAAAACUCUGUUAUUGGGGAAGAACAUAUGUGUAAGUAACUGUGCACAUCUUGACGGUACCUAAUCAAAAAGCCACGGCUAACUACGUG